Molecule: long non-coding RNA, 6440 nt
Organism: Salmo salar (Atlantic salmon)
Lineage: Eukaryota; Metazoa; Chordata; Actinopteri; Salmoniformes; Salmonidae
Source: RefSeq, a predicted model, not a curated record
UUUACCUUGUCAGCUUGGGGAUUCGAUCUAGCAACACUCUAACCGCUAGGCUACCUGCCGCCCCCAAAUAAUAAGACAUUAUUUGUUCGACCGAAUGGGAAAACGUCUGUGUGAGCAUUUGAAUUAGAUCAAGAUCAAACGAGUUUGCAAAUAUCUUUGAUACACCAGAAGUUGCUAAUAACAUCUGUAUCUAGCUAGCUGUAGCAUGGUACCUAGCUAGCACCAAUGGCACCAGCCUGAAAACAAUGACCAGUAGAACUUUUCCAGCAGUCAUUUUCCAUAUUCUUAGCAAUGAUUUAAGUAUCCAUGGGAAGAACAUCGUUUGCAUCCAUCAGCCAGCUAGCUUUUUUAUGACCAACACUGUUCAGAGUUUGGAGAAGUGUGUCUGCACUCGUGCGGCAGCAGCAGGGGCGCGAGACAAAACUUUACCAACAUCAUAGCAUAGGUCAACACAAUGUGAUUAUUAGAUUCCAAACAAAGAUUACCUGUACUCUGCUGCCACGUGCCGACAAGACAGAAGAUUGAGCAGGAGCAAAGAUCCUAAUUUUCCAGAAUAUUUGGCCAUUGUGUACAUGUACAAUGUACAGAACCACAACGUUUGUGGCAGACGCCCUCAGGCACAGGGAUGUGGGGGCCAAAGCCAUAGAGACACUGACCCAGCUCUUUGGAAUUGGGCACUCCCCCUCAUCUGUCCUGACGGUCCUGAAGAACGACCUGCAGAUUGAGUACAGAGAGGACUACAUCUUCACCUCUGUUGAGACCUCCAGUUCUGUUACCAAUUGUACCACAAAGUGUUCAGGCAGGAGCAUGGGGAACAAAAUAGGCCUGAGAUGCUCUCAGCCCUAGAGAGGCAGGUUGAGGAGUAUAAUCUUAGGUGCGGCGAGAUCUGUGCCAAGGUUGCGAAAUCUUCUGGAGGAGCCCCUCUGGUGCUUCAUUGAUUCCUCUGGGAACAUGGACAGAGAACUGCAUAGUUUUUCUUCUCCUUACCCACACCUGUGCUGGCGGUCUACCCCUUGAGGUUAUCCUGACUCGGUCUGAGGAUGAGACCACAAUCCUUGAGGGCCGUCAACUGUUGAAGGACAUACUGCAGACACCUUUGCAGGGAGAGGUCAGGCUGGUCCUCACCUCAUCAUUUCAGAUGACUGCAAGGCAGAGAGGGGAGCAUUAGGGGGGGCAUUUCCAGGGGCCACACUGCUCCUCUACACCUUCCACCUACUCCAGGCAGUGUGGAGGUGGCUGUGGGGCAAGGAGAGUGGAGUAGACCUGAGAGACAGGCAGACCCUCUUCACUGUCGGCAAAGACAUCAUGUGUGCCAGGGAAGAGAUGGUUGAGCCCCUCUAUCAGCAGGCAAAACAAAACUCAGUUGUAGCCAGGUUAGUGUAGUAUAACAGUAUAAUGAGGUGCAAUCUAUUAACUUAUGCUUUAUUCUCAGUAUUAUGAUAAAACCAAGACAUGGGGAACCAACCCGAGGGAACGACUUUGUGGAGGCAGCAAUGCGGGUCCUUAUGGAUAAAAAUCCUCUAGAGGACGAAAGUGUUCAAUCUCCCUGCCUUAUUUGACCAGCCUGGAGGCCUAUUGUGAGGCACGGGUGACUGAUGUUGCCCUUGACCGCAGGGAAACAUUCUAGCACUCUCGUUUUCUGGCCCAGGAAAGCAACAUCAACCCAUCUGACAUCGAGCAGAUGGGGGAGAAGCAGUACAGGGUGAAGGACAGCACACCAGGCCAGACCUAUACUGUGGACAUAGAGAUGGACCUCUGCACUUGUCCAGUAGGGCACCCAGGAGCUCCAUGCAAGCACCAGGCUGCUGUGGUUCAGAUAUACAAAUGCCUGUCCAUCAACUUCCUCCUAACAACACCGGAGAUCAGGGCUGAGAAGCUAAAGAUAACAGGAGUUAAAAUAGUGGCUAAUUAAUUAUUGUUUAUGGUUAGAAAAUCAUUUUAAUGUGAAUAUUUUAUGGACCAAAGCAGAGUGCCGAAGUUGAUUAAAUAUCUCUUACAGCAACAAUAUCUCUGGAUUUUCUGCAGCAACUGAGACAGCCAAGUCAGCCAUUAGAUGCUACAGUUCAGGCCUCGUAACAACUUCCACAAGAGGACCUUUCAAACGACAUAACCACUGGCUUGGAGAGGGAAGAUGUAACCUCCAGUGUUCCUGACCACUAGCCUUUCGCUGUGCCAAGAGACUCAGAAGGGGACAUUCUGCCUGAUUUGCCUGACCUGGUGGAAGACAUGCCAAAGGAGUUCAGUUCCUUGACCAAGGAUGACUACUACAGUGACGCCCUGGUAGCAAUGGCCAAGCAAAGCCCAUGUCAGCCCAGCAGCCAAGAAAGCAACUGCACUACAACGAGCAGCUAGAUGUCCCGACCCCAUGAUCCCCUGUCAGCCUACUGCAGUUGGCCUUAGAGCGAGCAAGGUUGGAUCGAAGAGUCAUCUGACUGCUAGACGUCCAAAACCCAGAACAGCGGUCCUGAGCACCCUUACUGCUUAGACAAAAAGAGGAAAAGGCCUGCCAGGUUUGGGCAUCACAAGUUGUCUGAGUCUUUGGGAAUGAAUUGUUCACACAAGAAGUGAGGAGUUAGUUCGUUUUUAUGUGGUUGCUUUAAGUUGUCUAUUUAUGAUGUUUGAUAUUCUGUUGUCAUAAAAUCCGGAAAGAGAGCAUGCAUGGAUGCAUUGUCUUACUAGCCGUUGACGAUAGGCAUACUAGUUCAUUAAAUAGCAUGCAGUCACCUAGCCCAUUUCCUAGAUCACAGUGGAACUCUGGUCUAGCUGUAUAACAUUUAGCCACCUUGCAAGUUAUUUCAAAUUAAAUUUGAUUUGUCACAUGCAUCGAAUACCUUACAGUGAAAUGCUUACUUACAAGCCCUUAACCAACAAUGCAGUUAAGAAAAAUACCACAAAAAAAUUAUAAAUAAAAAUAACAAAUAAUUAAAGGGCAGCAGUAAAAUAACAAUAGUGUGGUUAUAUACAGGGGGUACCGGUACAGAGUCAAUGUGCGAGGACACCGACCCGUACCUGUUUGGCGAUGCUUUUCCCACGUCUGCGAGUAUAUCCAUGAUUUGUGGGCGGUUCUGAUAAGGAAUGCAUCACCCAAGAAAGAAUGAAAUCCAGUUGUUAGAUUCUACCACCACCCUCCAAAUCAACACCAAACAUUGAUGUCAAUGUUUGCGCGUGCACAUGCUUCAUUCUUCUUCCUGACGUGGUAAAAGCGUCGCCAAACAAGCACAGGUCAGCAAAUAUUUCGCACGCCUCUCCAAUGAUAUGUCCCAAGACAGAAUUUUGACUGUUAAAAUAACUGUACUUACUGGACUGUUAUUAACUGUAUACAUGCUGGCGAGCUAUGUAGGACUAGCAGUAGGACUACAAUAGGCCGAGUUCUAACAAAUUCUAUACUAACAAUCUUCCAGUUCAGAUAGAGCCCAAUAUACGUUUAAUAAUCAUUUGUAAAAUGAUUUACUUAUUUAUUAAUACAUUUCAUAAAUAUAUAGAUUUCUUUUGUGUUCCAUUUAUAGAGCCCGACAUUGAUCUGACACUCAUUUUAAGGGGUUAAUUUACAGGUGAAGCUUUAACCUAGCCUAUCAGAGGACAACAAGGUAGAAAUAACUAUUAACAUGUUGAUUGCACUGUCAAAUCCUUUCAACAAAUGCAUAUGGUCUGGGGAUCCAUUUGGGAUUGGGCCUCAGUCUGAAACCAUCUCUUCAAUUGUGGACAGCUGCUCUCUAUACUCCUACCUGAAAAUAUAACUUCACGUUUGGUUAACCUUUCUAAAUAAUAUUACAGUUACACUUGUCAUGUUAAGGUGUUGCAGGUAGCCUAGCGGUUAGCGCAUUGGGCUAGUAACCAAAAGGUUGCUUGCUAGUUCUAAUCCUUGAGUUGACAAAGUGAAGAAUCUGUUGAUGCAUGACUUAUAAUAGAUAGAUUUCCACCUAGAAUAGGUGGAACCUCAUUUUGCAGUAAACUGGCAGUAGUUGAUACAUGGUAUAGAAAUUAAUGAUAUAUGCAAAGCAAUACCUUCAGGACUUAAUUAAUGAAAUAUAAUUUGUGUUUUAGAGAACAUGUCAAGUUGAAUAAAAAUAAAAGAUGCACAACUUAUGUUAGAAGGUUGCCCUAUGGGGAAGUCAUAUUGAGACUAAAGUCUCUUUUGCAAAUGAGCCCUGCACAAUACAACAACUAACACUAGCACAAUAUACACUAAAUACAUAACACUCAAUUAAAACAAACAAAUUCUUCAUUAUAAAAAUCCUCUGUCAGCUGUCUGAAUUGCCCUAGGGACACCAAAGCAUCCAAUCAAAACAUAUUUUGGAUAUUAUUCCAAACACAGGGAGCAAGGAAGUUGAAGGCUGAUUUACCUAACUCUGUAGACACCAAAAGGAGUCUCCAGAGUUAACCGACCCUGUGAAUGGGUUUAAUAACUUGUCAUUUUAAAUCUGAAGUUAGGUAAAUUGGAAGCUUGUAGAGCAGGGCUUUGUGAACAAAAAUAGCAUAAUGAUGUGAUCUAUAUGACUUUAAAGAGGUCCAGCCAACCUUUUGUUAAAGAAUGCAGUGGUGAGUAAUAAAACUGUCUCCUGUGAUAAAACAAAGGGCGGUAUGAUGAACGGCAUCCAGGGGUUUAAGAGUAGUGGCAACUGCAAUUUGAUAAAUAGUAUCGCCAUAACCAGGAACAGAUAGAAAGGUUGACUGCACAAUCUGCUUCCUGGUGACUAGAGAGAGGCAAUAUCUGUUUCUGUAAAACAGCCCACUUAACAAGCUCAUUCGUAUGUUUUUUUAAAAACGUUAAAUCAUUGUCAAUCCAAAUACCAAGGUAUUUGUAUACAGGGACUCUUUCUAAUAUAGAACCAUCCGAUGCGUGAAGAUGUAAUCCAUCUGAGACAAUCUAACGAGAACUUGAAAACAACAUGCAUUUCAUUUUGCCCGUAUUAAGCACACGUUUUAAAAAAUCAGUAAUGGCUUCCUGCACAGCAGCAAAAUUGGACUGUAGCCUUGUCACAGUCAGGUCAGCCGUCGGGGCAAUUGCGUAAAUAAUAGUAUCAUCCGCAUAUAGAUGAAAUUAAACAUUUUAACCAAUAAAAUGUAUAUGAAUAGUGAAAAGAGCAGGUCCUAGUAUCGACUUCAAGAAAUUCAGGCUUAACCCCAUCAAUCACGAUGGUCUGAGUUAUGUCACUAAGAUAAUGAUGAAACCAUGAGUAGGCGUCAGAGCCCAGACCAAUCGAGGAAAACUUUAAGUAAAAUAGCAUGGUCCACAGUAUUAAAUGCUUUUGACAAGUCCACAAACAAGUCACAGUUCAUUUUAGUGUCUAAAGCAUUGACAAUAUCAUUAACAACUAAUGUGGUUGCUGUGAUAGUGCUGUGCCCUGGCCUAAACCCAGAUUGAUUUAUAUUCAAAAUACCAUGCGUUUAGCUAGUCAAUGUCGCCAUGACACUGUCUUAAUACUGUACUGCCUUUGGUAUCUCUGUGUAAAAAUGUUAUUUAUUUGUUAUUUUGCGACAUUACGAGAAUGCAUACAUUUGUUUAUAAUUUUUUAAAUCAGAGUCAAUUGUGCGUCAAGAAUUUAGCAUAGCAAGUUUGUAUGAAGGUCUAGUUAUUAAUGAGUACAUAGUUUAAUAGUAAUAUCCUCCUAAAACGCUCUGAUGACAUACAAACUUUGCUGCCCUGUUUUCAAUUGUCCACAUGGCUGGGAGAACCCAUUGCAGGCUAACGCAAAUGAGCUGCUAAAUGUGCUAGUGAGUUGGCUAGCUAGCUAUCUAGCCAACUUCACAUACUGUAUAGAUAGCUAGCUAAGUGAAUGAAAUAUCACCAUAUAUCUUGAUGUAUUUAUCACUGUAAAAAAACAAACUCCAAAUGCAUUUGUAGGUAGCUAGCUAAACAGCCAUGGAGGAGGGUGAUAGGAUAGCAGCCCCAACUGUCAUGAGAGAGUAGACUAUUCUGGAUAGGGCAGGUACAUUUGUGUAGUUCCUGUCCCUUGAAGUCUGUUUUCUUGUGAGGUUUUCUGUCCUCAGAUAAAGAGAGGUAUGAAAGCCUGUCUACAUAUGAAGAGCAGUGGUUCUCAGUCCUGGUCCUAGGGACUUAGCACUGCACAGUUGACUCAAAUUAUCAACUCAUCAUCAAGCUUCAAGUGGUAUUUAAGUAUUCAUUUGUGACGCUAUCCUUGAUAUGAUCCUGUUAUUGUCACAUGCUACACAGGCACAUAUGUGUGUCCAUGCAUCUACCCAUGCGUCAAUGUUAUCAUGAUUUGUUGUCAGGGAUAUUAUACUUUAGUAAUCCACAAUGACCUGGUGAUGUAAAAGUCUAAUAAUUACAUUAUCUUCCAUAUUUCUACAGAUACCUUAUAACUGGAGAUUCCUUCAAAACGAUUGCCUACAGUUAACGUGUAGUGUCGUGGAAAAUUGCAAGAUUAUGUUAUAAUGCUUGUAUUGUAUUAUAAUGGUUGUUUUAUUCAACAGAAUAG